UACGUAGGGUGCGAGCGUUAAUCGGAAUUACUGGGCGUAAAGCGUGCGCAGGCGGUUUUGUAAGCCAGAUGUGAAAUCCCCGGGCUCAACCUGGGAAUGGCAUUUGGGACUGCAAGGCUUGAGUGCGGCAGAGGAGACUGGAAUUCCUGGUGUAGCAGUGAAAUGCGUAGAUAUCAGGAGGAAUACCGAUGGCGAAGGCAGGUCUCUGGGCUGACACUGACGCUCAUGCACGAAAGCAUGGGGAGCGAACGGG
Molecule: ribosomal RNA, 253 nt
Filed under: uncultured bacterium
Lineage: Bacteria
Description: partial 16S ribosomal RNA
Rfam family: Bacterial small subunit ribosomal RNA
Source: RNAcentral